Molecule: ribosomal RNA, 765 nt
Filed under: uncultured bacterium
Lineage: Bacteria
Description: bacterial SSU rRNA
Rfam family: Bacterial small subunit ribosomal RNA
Source: RNAcentral
GCUCAGAACGAACGCUGGCGGCAGGCCUAACACAUGCAAGUCGAACGCCGUAGCAAUACGGAGUGGCACAGGAUUGAGUAACGCGUGGGAACAUGCCAUUUGGUUCGGAAUAACUCAGGGAACCUUGAGUUAAUGCCGGAUACGUCCAAGGCGACUUGGAGAACGAUUUAUCGCCGGAGGAUUGGUCCGCGUCUGAUUAGCUAGUUGGUGGGGUAAUGGCUUACCAAGGCAACGAUCAGUAGCUGGUCUGAGAGGAUGAUCAGGGACCUUGGGACUGAGACACGGCCAAACCUCCUACGGGAGGCAGCAGUGGGGAAUAUUGGACAAUGGGCGCAAGCCUGAUCCAGCCAUGCCGCGUGAGUGACGAAGGCCUUAGGGUUGUAACGCUCUUUUGCCUGGGAAGAUAAUGACGGUACCAGGAGAAUAAGCCACGGCUAACUUCGUGCCAGCAGCCGCGGUAAUACGAAGGGGGCUAGCGUUGUUCGGAAUCACUGGGCGUAACGCGCACGUAGGCGGAUUCUUAAGUCAGGGGUGAACUCCAGAGGCUCAACCUCGGAACUGCCUUUGAUACUGGGGAUCCAGAGUCCGGGAGAGGUGAGUGGAAUUGCGAGUGUAGAGGUGAACUUCGUAGAUAUUCGCAAGAACACAGUGGCGAAGGCGGCUCACUGGCCAGGUACUGACGCUGAGGUGCGAACGCGUGGGGAGUAACCAGGAUUAGAUACCAUGGUAGUCCACGCCGUAACCGAUGGAUGCCAGCCGUCAGAC